GAUGAACGCUGGCGGCGUGCCUAACACAUGCAAGUCGAGCGAGGGUUUGCUCAGUAUUGAAUAUUCUAAGUCUAGAAUGUUCAAUACUGAGCAAAACCAAGCGGCGGACGGGUGAGUAACGCGUGGGUAACCUGCCCUAUACACAUGGAUAACAUACUGAAAAGUUUACUAAUACAUGAUAAUAUAUAUUUGUGGCAUCGCAGAUAUAUCAAAGUGUUAGCGGUAUAGGAUGGACCCGCGUCUGAUUAGCUAGUUGGUGAGAUAACUGCCCACCAAGGCGACGAUCAGUAGCCGACCUGAGAGGGUGAUCGGCCACAUUGGAACUGAGACACGGUCCAAACUCCUACGGGAGGCAGCAGUGGGGAAUAUUGCACAAUGGGCGAAAGCCUGAUGCAGCAACGCCGCGUGAACGAUGAAGGUCUUCGGAUCGUAAAGUUCUGUUGCAGGGGAAGAUAAUGACGGUACCCUGUGAGGAAGCCCCGGCUAACUACGUGCCAGCAGCCGCGGUAAUACGUAGGGGGCUAGCGUUAUCCGGAUUUACUGGGCGUAAAGGGUGCGUAGGUGGUCCUUCAAGUCGGUGGUUAAAGGCUACGGCUCAACCGUAGUAAGCCGCCGAAACUGGAGGACUUGAGUGCAGGAGAGGAAAGUGGAAUUCCCAGUGUAGCGGUGAAAUGCGUAGAUAUUGGGAGGAACACCAGUAGCGAAGGCGGCUUUCUGGACUGCAACUGACACUGAGGCACGAAAGCGUGGGUAGCAAACAGG
Molecule: ribosomal RNA, 762 nt
Filed under: uncultured Peptostreptococcus sp.
Lineage: Bacteria; Bacillati; Bacillota; Clostridia; Peptostreptococcales; Peptostreptococcaceae
Description: bacterial SSU rRNA
Rfam family: Bacterial small subunit ribosomal RNA
Source: RNAcentral